Small nucleolar RNA from Rattus rattus (black rat), 79 nucleotides. RefSeq annotates it as small nucleolar RNA SNORD115. Lineage: Eukaryota; Metazoa; Chordata; Mammalia; Rodentia; Muridae. The transcript has a single exon. The record is from RefSeq and is a predicted model, not a curated record.
GGAUCAAUGAUGACAACAAAAAGUCAUGAAGAGAGAUGAUGAUAUAAAAAUCAUGCUCAAUAGGAUUAUGCUGAGGCCC